RNAcentral lists this ribosomal RNA (500 nucleotides) under uncultured bacterium. Its description in RNAcentral is "partial 16S ribosomal RNA". It matches the Rfam family "Bacterial small subunit ribosomal RNA", at positions 30 to 523 of the family's 1533-position model. The record is from RNAcentral.
AUUGAACGCUGGCGGAAUGCUUUACACAUGCAAGUCGAACGGCAGCACGGACUUCGGUCUGGUGGCGAGUGGCGAACGGGUGAGUAAUGUAUCGGAACGUGCCCAGUCGUGGGGGAUAACGUAGUGAAAAUUACGCUAAUACCGCAUACGAUCUAUGGAUGAACGCGGGGGAUCGCAAGACCUCGCGCGAUUGGAGCGGCCGAUAUCAGAUUAGGUAGUUGGUGGGGUAAAGGCCCACCAAGCCAACGAUCUGUAGCUGGUCUGAGAGGACGACCCGCCACACUGGAACUGAGACACGGUCCAGACUCCUACGGGAGGCAGCAGUGGGGAAUUUUGGGCAAUGGGCGAAAGCCUGAUCCAGCCAUUCCGCGUGCAGGAUGAAGGCCCUCGGGUUGUAAACUGCUUUUGUACAGAACGAAAAGGUUUCUACUAAUACUAGGAGCUCAUGACGGUACUGUAAGAAUAAGCACCGGCUAACUACGUGCCAGCCGCCGCGGUAA